UACGAAGGGGGCUAGCGUUGUUCGGAUUUACUGGGCGUAAAGCGCACGUAGGCGGAUCUUUAAGUCAGGGGUGAAAUGCCGCGGCUCAACCGCGGAACUGCCUUUGAUACUGGGGAUCUGGAGUCCGGGAGAGGUGAGCGGAACUGCGAGUGUAGAGGUGAAAUUCGUAGAUAUUCGCAAGAACACCAGUGGCGAAGGCGGCUCACUGGCCCGGUACUGACGCUGAGGUGCGAAAGCUAGGGGAGCAAACAGG
RNAcentral lists this ribosomal RNA (253 nucleotides) under uncultured bacterium. RNAcentral's name for it is "partial 16S ribosomal RNA". It matches the Rfam family "Bacterial small subunit ribosomal RNA", at positions 524 to 776 of the family's 1533-position model. The record is from RNAcentral.